AAAAUAAUGGGGUCAUUGGAAGAAUAUGCACACUCCACACCUGCACUGUUCUUCACAUAUUGUCUUACAAUAAAAAAAGAUAAAAGAAAAGAAAAUUAGUAUACCAAAAUAAAAUAAGCAAAAAAAGCUAAAAUGUUGCUAACUAAUAUAAAAGAAGAAAAACACUCCUUUUUUCACCAAAUAUUUCUCAAAACAAAGAUGAGACCCUGAAAACACACAAAGAUUAAGUUCAUAUUUAGUUUCUCAUUCUUUGGUAUUUCAAAAGCAGAAAAUCAUAAAUUUUAUCUCCCUCCCUCCACGAGUUUAAUUUCUCGGAACACCGAAGCCAAAAGAAAAGGAUCUCGGUAUCUUCCAGAAUCAUAGUCCACAUGCUCCUCACAUUAAAACACUUGAUCCCUGAAAACAAAGGCACGAUAAAACGUACAAACUCAUAUUCAAAUUCCAUGUGCCUCAAAAAUAUGGAUUUAUGCUAGUUGACUAUAUAUACAAAAAAGAAAGGGACUGGAAAAAGAAAAAAGCUCCAACUUAUUCUUCGCUGAUACUUGUCUCCACAAAUACACCCUUGAUCAACUAUUUAGCCUGGAAAUUUGUGACCAGUGCUCAGAAUCUACAACUAUCAAGGAUGCAUAAAAUCAUAAGUUAUAAACUAAGAUCCAAAAAACCCUAGAUCAAUCAUACACUCAAUACAAGAAGGAAAACAACCACUUCAAGCAGCAAAUCUCCAGUCUCAGUUACAUUUGCAAAGACCAGUGUUGUCAUAUAAAGUUACCACCCCAUCUGGAAAAAAAAAUCUGCAUAAAACCAACCACAAAGAAGCCCAAAUUUAAGGAUCAUCAAAACUCAAUCUUAGACAAACAUCCAAAAAAAAUACCAACUGCACAGACAUUAUCUCUCUCUCUAUGAUACCGAAAGGAAACUGGACAAAUACAAAAUUGGGGCUCUGAUCAACACCCUAAACUUGCUGUGUAUUACAUGAACUCAAAAAAAGAAAUAUUUAUGGACAGCCUGUUAUUAAUUAUGGAGAGAAACACUUUCUCUAUUAUCUUUGCCCAUGUUUAGUCCCUGAAAUUUCUCAAUGCUCUAGAGCAGAUCCUGAAAAAAGCAAGGAUCAAAAUCUCAUUCUUUUUAAUCAUUUAAAGGCAUAGAGACUUCUCAAACCAAUGAUCUACAUACUCUCAAACCAAUGGAUGGGAAGAACGUCCAAGUUCACUGGGCUGUAAUUAAGAAGCAUAGAACAAAAACCAUGAUCACUAAAUAAAAAAAAAAAGAAACAGAACAAUGGUCCCCCAAAAUUUUGUUCUUGGACAGAAAAUUUUCAUCCAAAAACCAAGGGAUAUUCUCAAAACAAUGGGCAGUGGUAGAUCCAAGCUGUAAUUAAGAAGCCAAAAUCUAAUUAAUAUUUAAUAUUCAAAAAAUAAAGUCAAUUUUCAAAACUUCCACAAGAGAGAGAGAGAAACUGCAAGCGUUCAGAUAUUAACAGAUCAUUGCAAAAGGAGAAAAAACAAACCACAGGCUUCCAAAAAUAGGGACCCUGGAAAACACAAAUCAAUAGUUCAGAUUCAAAUUCUUGCCCAACUUAAGACAUGUAUUUUAGAAAAAACUAAAAUUCGUCUCCCAAAGUUGGAUUUCAAAUAAAGGAGCAAUAACAAAAUAUCUCACAAAACCAUCUUUGUUAAGAGGCCUCGGAUUCAAAACAAUGAAGCCCUGAAAACAUAUGCAUGACAAACAUACCAAACUGAGAUUAAAAUUCUCCAGAAAUAGGGAUUCAAUAAUUAUUGUUGAUUAAAGAAACAAAAAGGAGAAAGGAAAGCUCCUGUCACUCCCAGCUAAUAUCACUAACAUUUCACGAUGAGUCCACCACACUGAUUAAAUCCUGAAAAAAAAUUUCAAUCAAUUCCCAGAAUCUACCACUCUGACAGAUACUCAAAACUAUAAAUUAUAGCUUUCAGA
Molecule: unclassified non-coding RNA, 1950 nt
Filed under: Hevea brasiliensis (rubber tree)
Lineage: Eukaryota; Viridiplantae; Streptophyta; Magnoliopsida; Malpighiales; Euphorbiaceae
Source: RNAcentral